RNAcentral lists this unclassified non-coding RNA (95 nucleotides) under Chryseobacterium sp. YR221. RNAcentral describes it as "Flavo-1 RNA". The record is from RNAcentral. Lineage: Bacteria; Pseudomonadati; Bacteroidota; Flavobacteriia; Flavobacteriales; Weeksellaceae.
CCCUAGCCCUGAUAGCAGUGGUUACCCCACAGCAUGGAAUGGCUCUUUUAAGAAUGCCCGGGCGCGAGGAGUAUGAACGGAUAGCAGGAAGCAGC